UCAGAGACGAGAAGACUAUUGAUUCAUAGGCCGAUACUUAACUGUCUUCACGACUUCGUCUUCUUCACUUCAUCAGUUUCCCGCCAAGUCAGCGUUUGUAACUGAGAGUAAUCGCAACACACUUCAGCCAACGAGUGUGCAAUCGCUACAGUUGUGGACAGAGUUCUUUGAGCAUCGAGUUCGCAUUAAAUAAUUGAUUUGGGAUUCUUCGAGGGAUUAAGAGGAAAUAGCUCGACAUAACGCAAUGGACUUUGAAGAAUACAGGCUCAGAGGUAA
This is a long non-coding RNA of Magallana angulata, 276 nucleotides long. RefSeq lists it as uncharacterized. Lineage: Eukaryota; Metazoa; Mollusca; Bivalvia; Ostreida; Ostreidae. The transcript is spliced from 3 exons. The record is from RefSeq and is a predicted model, not a curated record.